UUUCAUAAUAGAGAGACAUGCCAGCUCCUGGUAGUACCCCUAUUUCCUCCAAAGAAGAUAGGUGGGUACAAAAGAACCUCCACCCAGAGCUUGUUUACAAACACUGAGCAAACCUACCUUUCACCUCAAUUGCUGCGAAGACACCCUUCAGACCGUGGACUCCGGGACACUGGGAAAUCAACUGCCUCAAGUCGCCUAGACAAAGGAGCAUAUGGACCUGUAACUGCAGUGGGUGCCCUCAGAACUCAGACGUGAAACUGUAACACUGAGGUCAAAGGAAACUUGAAACAAGACCUUGGAGGAGACAGAAACAGCAUAGCCCAGGCAAAAGCUCCCAAGCAAAAGCUCCCAAGCGUCUCUUAGAAGAUUGUGUGAUCACAUCUUCUGAUCGGCUGCAGUGUCUUUCAAGGAAAAUCUCCUUCUGCCCACAUUUCUAAGGAUAUUUGCAAUUCCACGGGUGGGGGUGCCCGUGUGUCCACAUGAACACUCUUCUUACAUCACAUCAACAGAAUUCCCUCUGGCCUUAUAAGAAGUUUGGAGUUGGGCCAGAUCCGUGUGACAAAAGCUGAUCCCCAAGAGAACACACCAGGUUUUUAUCAUCGUACACAGGACGUACCUCUCGGGGGACCUCAGGGAGUGAUAGCCUGAAGAGUGGCUUACAACGCUUUGUUGGGAAACAGCAAGUUUAGGGAACCAACAGGAGAGGACCAAGCAGAGGCGGGAGACUGCCUGGAGGGCUGGGCAGCCAGGAACCAACAAGCGGCCUCCUUACAACACAAAAGGGUACCCUCGUCCAGUGCCAUUGUACACCUGUUCCACAUGGUUCCGUUUCUCAGAAAAUCAUGUGUCUUGAACCUGGUCUGCCACACAAGGAAGACACGGCAGGCCUGGACUGGUGCCUCUGCGUUUCUGAUUCCCGUGCGCUUUCUGUCCUGGUUCCAGCGCUUUGUGAAAGCCCCACUCCACACAGAUGGGAAGCGAGAUGCGGCUGCUUUUCACCAUUGUCCCCUGUAAUGUCAGCUUCGUACCACUGUGGCCAGACACAAGGUGAUGCUGGGGAUUGAACCCAGGUCUCUGCGCACACAAGGAAAGUGCUUCAUACUAAGAUGUGCUGCCAGUUCUCAGCCACUGCCAGUUAAACUCACCCAGAAGUUUGACAGAGAAGACAAUCGAAAAUGUUUGACUGGGUUUAAGUGAUUCAUAACAGCCCAUAGUUGUGGUUAGUCUGCAGUGUUCACUUGAAUCAGGAGGAAAACAGGACCUAAGGUCUGAAGUAGGUACAAAAGGCAUCCAAACAGAAUGAUAUCAUCAAACGUGUUUAAUUAUUACACUACAAUAUGAAUAAAUUCUAAUAUCAGCCUCACCCAAAUCAAGAUUCUAGGAAACAGUCGCUGCUGAAACACAGCCAGUCAAAUGCUCCUCUCUCCCCCAAGCCCUACCCACUGCAGGAACUUCAACCAAUGAAAGCAUUCCACUAAGAACUGAGGCGGAUAGGAGACUACAUGCUGACAGUGUCCAAUUCACAAUAAUCAACGUUUG
Molecule: non-coding RNA, 1539 nt
Organism: Myodes glareolus (Bank vole)
Lineage: Eukaryota; Metazoa; Chordata; Mammalia; Rodentia; Cricetidae
Source: RefSeq, a predicted model, not a curated record